AAAUUGAAGAGUUUGAUCAUGGCUCAGAUUGAACGCUGGCGGCAGGCCUAACACAUGCAAGUCGAGCGGUAGCACAGAGAGCUUGCUCUCGGGUGACGAGCGGCGGACGGGUGAGUAAUGUCUGGGAAACUGCCUGAUGGAGGGGGAUAACUACUGGAAACGGUAGCUAAUACCGCAUAACGUCGCAAGACCAAAGUGGGGGACCUUCGGGCCUCAUGCCAUCAGAUGUGCCCAGAUGGGAUUAGCUAGUAGGUGGGGUAACGGCUCACCUAGGCGACGAUCCCUAGCUGGUCUGAGAGGAUGACCA
This 307-nucleotide ribosomal RNA is filed under the name Klebsiella pneumoniae. RNAcentral's name for it is "bacterial SSU rRNA". It matches the Rfam family "Bacterial small subunit ribosomal RNA", at positions 1 to 306 of the family's 1533-position model. The record is from RNAcentral. Lineage: Bacteria; Pseudomonadati; Pseudomonadota; Gammaproteobacteria; Enterobacterales; Enterobacteriaceae.